Molecule: long non-coding RNA, 3734 nt
Filed under: Homo sapiens (human)
Lineage: Eukaryota; Metazoa; Chordata; Mammalia; Primates; Hominidae
Description: HSALNT0001097
Source: RNAcentral
CUGGAUCAUUUCCCCCACUGCCACACCAACACGUGGUUAUUUCUCCAUCUUUUUCUUUUUUUUCUUUUUCUGAGACAGAGUCUCAUUCUGUCACCCAGACUGGAGUGCAAUGGCUUGAUCUCGGCUCACUGCAACCUCCGCCUCCUGGUUUCACGCAAUUCUCCUGCCUCAGCCUCCCCAGUAGCUGGGAUUACAGGCGCACACCACCAUGCCCAGCUAAUUUUUUUUUUGUAUUUUUAGUAGAGACAGGGUUUCACUGUGUUGGCCAGACUGGUCUCGAAUUCCUGACCUCGUGAACAGCCCGCCUGGGCCUCCCAAAGUGCUGGGAUUACAGGCGUGAGCCACCGCGCCCGGCUUCUCCAUCUUUUUUUUUCUUUCUUUCUUUGAGACAGGGAGUGCAGUGGCACAAUCAUGGCUCACUGCAGCCUUGACCUCCCAGACUCACGUGAUCCUCGAGCCUCAGCCUCCCGAGUAGCUUGGACUAGAAGCACACACCACCAUAGGCGAGUGUUUGUAUUUUUUGUAGAGACGGGGUUUCACCAUGUUGCCCAGGCUGGUCUCAAACUCCUGGCCUCAAGUGAUCCGCCCACCUUGGUCUCCCAAAAUGCUGGCAUUACAGGCAUGAGCUGCCACGCCCAGCCUUAUUUCUCCAUUUUACAGAGGCCUCACCUCACCCUCCAGCUACGGCUGACUUUCUUUCUUUCCCUUCACAGCUAAACUCUGUAAACAGGUAUCAGUAUUCACGACUUCCUAGUUCUCUCCUCCCACUCUCUUUAUUUUUCCCAAGUUUUGUUUUAAAAUAUUUCUUUUCUUUUUAUUUUUUUAAAUUUUUCUGAGAAGGGGUCUCGCUCUGUUGCCCAGGCUGGAGUGCAAUGGCACGAUCUCAGCUCACUGCAUCCUCCGCCUCCCGGGUUCAAGUGAUUCUCCUGCCUCAGCCUCCCAAGUAGCUGAGAUUACAGGCACAAUCCACCACGCCCGACUAAUUUUUGUAUUUUUAGUAGAGACGGAGUUUCACCAUGUUGGCCAGGUUGGUAUUGAACUCCUGGUCUCAGGUGAUCCGCCUGCCUCGGCCUCCCAAAGUGCUGGGAUUACAGGCGUGAGCCACCGCGCCCAGACUUGUUUUAAAAUAUUUCAAACCUACCAAAAAUUAUAAGAAUAGCACAUGACAUCCACAUGCCCUCUGGACUCCCCAAGUUGAUAUCUACCACAUCUGCUUCUCUCCCAUUCUCUUCUCGGCACCCCCCUCCCCUGGGGCAGAAAUCAUGCUGCUGCCUAAGAACAAAGACAGUUUUCCUACAAAACCCCAUAGAAUUGUCGCACUUGGGAAACUGAACCUUGAUAUAUAGUCUAUAUUGACAUUUUCCCAAGUGUCUAAAUAACGUUCUUACAGAUAUACUUCCUCAUAUAGGAACUAAUCAAGUUUCACACGUGGCAUUUGGUUAUGUCUGUUUAUCCUUUUUUUUUUUUUUUUUUUUUUGAGACGGAGUCUCGCUCUGUCGCCCAGGCUGGAGUGCAGUGGCGCGAUCUCGACUCACUGCAAGCUCCGCCUCCUCGGUUCACACCAUUCUCCUGCCUCAGCCUCCUGAGUAGCUGGGACUACAGGCGCCCGCCACCACGCCCGGCUAAUUUUUUGUAUUUUUGGUAGAGAUGGGGUUUCACCGUGUUAGCCAGGAUGGUCUCGAUCUCCUGACCUCGUGAUCCGCCCACCUCGGCCUCCCAAAGUGCUGGGAUUACACGCGUGAGCCACCGUGCCCAGCCUUGUUUUUUGUGGUCUUUUAUUACAUUGACUUUUUUUUUUUCUUCAAGACAGGGUCUCGCUCUGUAGCCCAGGCUGGAGUAGUAUGGCAUGAUCAGCUCACUGCAACCUCAACCUCCCGGACUCAAGUAAUCCUCCUGCCUUAGCCUCCUUAGUAGCUGGGAAUACUAGGUGCAUGCCACUACGCCCAACUAACUUUUUUAUUUUUAGUAGUGACAGAUCUCACUAUGUUGCCCAGGCUAGUCUUGAACUCCUGGGCUCAAGCAAUCUGCCCGCCUUGACCUCCCAAAGAGCUGGGAUUAUAGGCAUGAGCCACUGUGCCUGGCUGACCUUGACAUUUUGGAAGUCUUCGAGCCAGCAGCCUCGCACAGAGCUCCUCAAUGUGGAUCUCCCUGGUGGUCCUCAGAAAGUUUCAAACUGAGCGUUCAGGCGGGGACACCACAGAGCUGUGUGUUCUUGCUAUUUGCCUGUAAUGCUGGAUCCUCUGGGGACCUCUGUACCUUGUAGAGUCCCUUUUUCCCCUAUAAUUAAUAAGUAAUCUGUGGCAUGGCACUUUGAGAUGUCUUGUUCCCCAGUAAUCUCACUCAAUCAGUUGAGGUCAGGAGUUCAAGACCAGCCUGGCCAACAUGACAAAACCCCAUCUCUACUAAAAAUAUAAAAAAUUGCCAGGCACGGUGGCUCAUGCCUGUAAUCCUAGCACUUUGGGAGGCCGAGGCGGGUGGAUUGCCUGAGCUCAGGAGUUCGAUAGCAGCCUGGGCAACACGGUGAAACCCCGUCUCUACUAAAAUACAAAAAAAUUAGCCAGUCGUGGCAGCGUACGCCUGUAGUCCCAGCUACUCAGGAGGCUGAGGCAGGAGAAUUGCUUGAACCGGGGGCAGAGGUUGCAGUGAGCCGAGAUCACACCACUGCACUCCAGCCUGAGUGACAGAGCGAGACUUUGUCUCCAAAAAAAAAAAAAUUAGCCAGGCAUGGUGAUGUGAGCUUGCGGUCCUAAGAGCUUUAGCAUACAUAGAUGAUUUUAACCUAAAUCAAUUAUUUGAUUCUUCUGAUGGCUGCAAGGUGGGGGAUUUCCUUUUUUUUUUUGAGACAGGGUCUCACUCUGUCACCCAAUCUGGAGUGCAGUGCCGCAAUCUCGGCUCACUGCAACCUCUACCUCCUGGGUUCAAGUGAUUCUCCUGCCUCACCGUCCCAAGUAGCUGGGACUACAGGCAUGUACCACCAUACCCAGCUAAUUUUUAGUAGAGAUAGGAUUUCGCCAUGUUGCACAGCCUGGUCUCGAACUCCUGGGCUCAACUGAUCCGCCCGCCUCAGCCUCCCAAAGUGCUGGAAUUAGUGCUGGGAUUACAGGUGUGAGCCACCAUAUCAGCUUGGGGUCACUCUUGACAUUCUCUGUUAUGCCCCCAUCUGGUCAGCCCGAAAAUCCCGCUGGCUCCACCUUUAGUAUCUGUGGCCUCAACCCAGCCACAGCUCAUAAGCGUGCCACUGCCCAGCCACCUUUUAGCUAGAUGACAACAAUGGCCUCAAAACUGGCCUCACUGCUACCCCCAUCCCCCACAAUAUGUUGUCCAUGUGCAGCUAGAGUGGGCCCUGUUCAAAGAGGAGUCCCACUGUAUCUACUCAAAACCCUCCAAGGGUUCCCAUCUCACUCUGAAUAAAAGCCAAAAGGGGCCAGGAGCAGUGGCUAUGCCUGUAAUCCCAGCACUUUGGGAGGCCGAGGCGGGCGGGUCACCUGAGGUUGGGAGUUCGAGACCAGCCUGACCAACAUGGAAGAAACCCUGUCUCUACUAAAAAUACAAAAUUAGCUGGGCAUGGUGGCGCAUGCCUGUAAUCCCAGCUACGCGGGAGGCUGAAGCAGGAGAAUCGCUUGAAUACGGGAGGCAGAGGUUGCAGUGAGCCGAGAUUGUGCCAUCGCACUCCAGCCUGGGGCAAAACUCCGUCUCAAAAUAAAUAAAUAAAUAAAUAAAUAAAUAAAUAAAUA